This 73-nucleotide transfer RNA is filed under the name Paraburkholderia sp. BL10I2N1. It matches the Rfam family "tRNA". Rfam says of the family: Transfer RNA (tRNA) molecules are approximately 80 nucleotides in length. Their secondary structure includes four short double-helical elements and three loops (D, anti-codon, and T loops). Lineage: Bacteria; Pseudomonadati; Pseudomonadota; Betaproteobacteria; Burkholderiales; Burkholderiaceae. The record is from Rfam by way of RNAcentral.
GGGUCGUUAGCUCAGUUGGUAGAGCAGCGGACCUUGAAUCCGCAGGGCACUCGUUCGAAUCCAGUACGGCCUA